Molecule: non-coding RNA, 3976 nt
Organism: Pantherophis guttatus
Lineage: Eukaryota; Metazoa; Chordata; Lepidosauria; Squamata; Colubridae
Source: RefSeq, a predicted model, not a curated record
UCAAGCAAUGUCUAUUUAUUUACUGGCAUCAUAUACUGCUUCCAUCAGUGUUAGCUCUGUUGAUUUACAUUUUUAUAAAUAAGGUUAAAAUGCAGUAUUAAUAACAGCACAAUAUAAUACAAAACACGGGGGAGCCGAGGAAUAUAAAAAUAAUAAUCCCAUUUCAUAAACUCCAAAAUUACAAGAAGGAACAAUUCACCAAAAUUCUGGAACUAAGAUUCGCUGAAUUCUGGAACUAAGAUUUGCUUUUGAUGAUCAUUCUAAAGCAGUGUAAGAGCUAUCUGAAUCUCAUGAAUCUCUCAUUGUUUCAAAGCAGUUGAAAAGAUCUACCUCUGAAGGUGGAAAUUGUCUUUCCAGCACCAGAUUCUCCACUAGCAAGAAAAAUCAAUCAUCAGGCCUUGAAGCAGACUUACCAGUUAGCAUGAACUGAUAUGCAUUGUCAGAGAUGGAGAAGAUGUGGGGAGGGGCCUCGGAACGCUUUUUCCCUCGAUAACCAGAUACCACCUCUGGAUUGUACACAGGCAACAAUUUGUAUGGAUUAAUAGUGACACAGAAGAGGCCUGAAUAGGUCUGCAUGGAAACCAAAAAUAGUGGUUAAAAUCUGCCCUCUUUGAGAUUUCGGUCCUGGUACGAGGUUUUGCUACCCAUUAAGAAGCAGAAAAAAAAAAAAGAAGAAAAUCAGUUGAAGUCCUAACAUGAAGUUCUCUGUCCUUAAAAGAUAUGUAAUGUUCCAUCUCCAAAUUUUUCUCACAAGACUCCUGUGGGAUAUGUUACACUGAGGGUAUAUGACUUCCCAAAAUCACCCAGUGGAUUUUUAUGGGGCUGAGGGAUACCUUUGUCCUACAAUGAACUGAUUCCUCACUUUCACUUUUGAAUUGUAUAUAGCACAAAGCCCUGGAUACUGGCAUGCCCCCUCGAAUCUAUUUUGGCAUUCCCAUAAAAGUGUGUGUUCUUCUUGCUCUUCUCGCUCUGGUUUGAUUGGCUACAAAGAAGCCCACCUGUGCUGUCCUUCUCCUUUGGAAUGUCUCAAGUCUUUCGUCUUCAUCUGGCACAUUGUCAUUCCAUUGGUCAAGGUCCUUUUUCUGGCACUCUGUGUUGCAUACCAGGAAUGCAAUCGCUUCUCAAGGAGACAAAUGGAUUUCAUUCCAAAGGAGCUUCUAUCAUGAUGCCCUGGCGUAGGAUGGCAUAGGCAAAACAUUGAAGGGAGGGGGCGUUUAGGAGGAACUAUUCUCAAGAGAUCCUAUUUUAUGGUGAAAAGGUUUGCAUUCAAAAUAGAUGUUUAAAAUUAGAUGCGUAAUAGCAAUCAAAGAAAAAAUGUUGAUGAUGCUCCGUGCUCUUGAUAAUUCAGUGCCCGCUGUAGCAAUUUUGCUAUGACUAAAACCUCCAUCUAAGAUUUUGCUAUUAUAGGCUCUGCAUUAAUACAUAAAAUCUCCGCCCAUGUGCCAGUGUCCUUGCAUCACUGAAAUGAAGAUGGCUUUAAUGAUGGAAGUUAUUUGCUUGCAUAUCCUCUUCAGAAAUAGGAUUGCAACUUCAAUGUCUUUUUAAAACUGCCCAGGCCAGACUGAACAUUCUUUUUUUUUUGGAAGAAAAAGGCACAGUUGAACUAAUUUUCAGGACUAAUACUCCGAAAAAUCAAAUUUUAUAAAUAUUAUGACAGUACCUCACAAUGCAGCAAGGGCUUGUAACAGUCUAACAUUUGGUGAUACAAUUGUGCAAAGCUUUGGCUUAGAUGUGAUGUUCUGUCAUUUUAUAAUAAUUGUUGGUAAUGAGCUUUAUGUACCAAUCUACAAUAUUGUCUUUUUUCUUAUUUAUAAUGCUGAUCAAAGACGCUAAUAAAUAAAUGUGUUUCAAUGAUAAUAAAUCAUAGCUACCAAACACUUUUAGGUAACAUAAAAUGCACCAACUUGUCAUAUAGUCCUCGAUUUAUGAUCACAAUUGAGCCCAAAAUUUCUGUUGUUAAAUGAGACAUCCGUUAAGUAUGUUUUGCCCCAUUUUAUGACCUUUCUUGCCUCUGUUGUUAAGUAAACCCAUGCAAUUGUUAAAUUAGUAACAGGGUUGCUAAGGUAAUCUGGCUUCCCCAUUGACUUUGCUUAUCAGAAGGUGAUAAAAGGGAUCACAUGACACAGCAAUCAUCAUCACUAUGAACCAGUUGCCAAGCAUCUGAGUUUUGAUCACAUGAUCAUGGGGAUGUUGCAGAGGUUGUAACUGAAAAAUGGCCAUAAGUCACUUUUUUUUUCAGUGCCAUUCAGUGGUGGGUUGCUCCCAGUUCAGUCCAGUUCUUGCGAACUGGUAGUAAUGGUGGUAGGAGGCUCCACCCAUCUGCCCUGAUGUCAUCACUCAUGAUCUGCGCAUGCGCAGAAACGCCCGCGUGCGCUCCCAUUGCGAACCGGUAGUAAAGGUAAGUGGAACCCACCCCUGGUGCCAUUGUAAUUUUGAACGGUCACUAAAUAAACUGUUGUAAGUCGAGGACUACCUGUACACAUCUAGGAACAGUUUUUGUAACUGGUUCUUUAACCAGAAGGUGAUUCCAUCUGGCACAUGUGAAGCUUGCUUUCCUACCUUACACUGACUGCCACUUUACUUAUAUUGUCUUUGAGUUCAACUCUUCUUAAUCCUAUCCAGAUAUAAAUUUAAAAUGCCUAUUGUUACUGGACCAGUUGAUAAUGAAGGAGAAAAAGAGGUGUCAGUAGCAUAGUUCUUUGAUGAUCUCUGCUAGAUGCUUCAUUUAGUUUUUAAACGGACACCAGAAUACAGUCCUAAGAAAAAACCCUGAGAUCUGCAUGUAAUCUACAAAAGCUGUUGUAACUGAUAGAACAGAAACUAAUGCAAAAGAACUCCUUACAUUCUUAAAGCAUUCUAAUUAUAAGCAUUUGUGUGCAUAAGUAGCAUGAAAUUUUCAUAAAGUUCAUAUUCCACAGGCUAUCCUAAAGCAAGCAUAUAUCAAUAAAACAAAGAAAUGUCAAUCUUGAAACCCAGCUUAAAUCAAAAUGGAAAUGGUAAAGUUGAUAGUUCCAUGGUACAGCAUGAUUUUUAUUUUGAAGGCUCCGGCAUAGAAGCUUACUGUUGGAAGGAGCUAUUUAGCCUAUUGAGACCAAUCCUCAGUAUGAGUCCAAGCAUCCCUGACAGAUGGCUGUCUAGACUCUGCUUGAACACCUGCAUUUAAAUAUUCUAUGUUGAAUGUCGUGGGGCACUUUGUCAAAUAUUUUCCUGAAAUCAAGAUAUGGUAGAUUUACAAUCUGUUAAGGAAGCUAGUAAAAAUUAAGAACCAGUUUCGUCUAGUGGUUAAGGUACCAGACUAGAAACUGGGAGACUGUGAGUUCUAGUCCCGCCUUAACCAUGAAAGUCAGUUGGGUAGCCUUGGGUCAGUCACUUUAUCUCAGCCCAACCCACCUCUCAGGAUUGCUGUUAUGGGGAAAAUAGAAGAAGAAAGUUAUGUUGGAUAUGUUUGCUGAGGCUCUGCUUUUUCUUCCUUAUGUAUUAGUGAUAUAAGAUAAUAUUUGUAACAAAGGGUUAAACUGUGUAGUCCUUGGUGCUCUCUGAGCUUGGUGGUUUUCUUGCAGAUGUUUCAAUACCCAACUAGGUAACAUCAUCAGUGCUAGAAAGGAGUGGGAGUUGCUCUUAUUUUUAUGUAUUAGUGGCUUGUCCAAUCAUUGUUGGUAGGAAUAGUCUUGGUGAUUCCUUGAUUAGAUGGUUUGUUUGUUUGUCUGCAUUGGAGUCAGUUUCCAAUCAAGGAAUUACCAAAUGAUGAAUUUGCUAAAUGCAUACUUUUUUAUAUAUUUUAUAAAAUUUACACAUUUUUAUGCAUUCAUAUGAACUUUUGUUGAGAUUUGAAAUGGAGGAAAAGCAAAAUAAAGAAUGUAUAGUAAAAUGGGCCAAGAAUUUUGGUGAUAAUAUUCAAAUGGAUCAAUGGGAAAGAAGAUAAAAGACCUGAAAUUCACAUUGUAUUACAAUUUAAAUAAAACUUAUUAUAAACUUA